UGGGCUGGUGCAAACGACAAUCACGAGGGCCGACACAUCGUUUCGAAAAGCUAUCCCCGCGAGUGACCGCUUGGCGCUGACACUUAGGUUCCUAGCGGAAGGCAGUUCCGUGCGAGGCACGUCCUUCAACUUUUUGGUAGGCAGAUCCACCGCCAGCAAAAUCAUCUCCGACACAUGCGAGGCCAUAUGGGAGUGCUUAGCACAACAGUAUCUGUGGUUGCCGUCUACGUCCGAGGAGUGGAAAGAGAUUGCUAGAGAUAUGGAGGCGAAAUGGAAUUUCCCAAACUGCC
Molecule: long non-coding RNA, 290 nt
Organism: Ornithodoros turicata
Lineage: Eukaryota; Metazoa; Arthropoda; Arachnida; Ixodida; Argasidae
Exons: 3
Source: RefSeq, a predicted model, not a curated record